UAGGGGGGUAGGAGUGCCCCUCUGUUAACAGCACUUUUCGGGCUGCGACUGUGCCUUGAGCCAGCCUUUGUUUCCAGCGUGUCUUUGCAAUUUAUCAAUUGUGGCUACUUACUAAGAACUUGCAGGCAUUUCUGGAAACCUCGCAUCUGUUUUUUGACUCAUUCACGUGGUAAUUAAAUCAUCUUGUGCUGGCUUUGGGGCUUUACAGAAACCUGAAGUGUUGGGAGCUGCUUGUGCAUCAGAAUUAGUACUGGGCAAGGCUUCUUACCAUCCGGAUUCUCUCUGUUGGAGAAAACCACAGCUAGAAGCUGGGAGGUGAGCUUCCUGGCAGCUUUGGCAAACUAGCUGCCUCUGGGGAGAUGCAGGUGAUGGAGAUGAAGGCGGUUUGUGCAGGAGGCCACCUGCCAUCCUGCUGAAGCUGCUAUCGGAGCCUGGAGCUGCAGCUGAUGGACGCAGGCUGGAGCAGGAAGCACGGCUGGGUACACCCAGGGGAGAGGCUUCUGUCUGUGGAACGGAAGGGGAGACACUGAGGCGAGGACACCUGCCAGAAGAGACGUAGAAGACCACCACCUUGUCCCUUUCUUCUUGCCUUCAGUGGAGAAGUGGUGCCUGGAACACAUGCAGCUGUCUUGCAACCUUGAGGAUUCUGCAUAUAAGGGAUGCCAUACACUAUUUCUCCUUCGCUGUCUGAUGUACUUCACUCAGUAUGACAAUUUCUAGGAACGUCCAUGUUGCUGCAGAUGGUAUUAUUUCAUUCUUUUUGAUGGCUGAGUAAUGUUCCAUUGUAUAUAUAUACCACAUCUCUCUCCAUUUCUCUGUUGAUGGUCAGUGGACAGUUAGAGUGCUUCCGUGUGUUUGGUAUUGUAAACAGUGCUGCAAUGAACAUUAGAGUGUAUGUACACUUUUGAAUCAUGUUUUUCUCUGGGUAUAUCCCCAGGAAUAGGAUUGCAGGGUCAUAUGGUAGCUCUAUUUUUAGUAUGUUAAGGAACCUCCAUACUGUUCUCCAUAGGGGCUGUACUAAUUACAUUCCCACCAACAGUGGAGGAGGGAACAACUAGCAACUACUUUCUUAAUACGAGGAAACUGAGACACAAGAGAUUAAACAACUUCUCCAGGGUCUCACACUCAGAAGGGAUGGAGUCAGGAUUCACACCUGGCAGUCUGGCUCUGGAACCUGCAUUUUAAGCCAUGCAGCUCUAGUGUCUCUGAGGGAAACUACAAAUAACGUAUGGUUUCCUUCUUCUGAAAGUAUAUAUACACAUACCACAUAUUUACAAAUUCAGGACCUUGUCCCAUAUGCUGGUUUGCAGUGUGCUUUGUAAUGUAACUUUACACAUGGUUAUUAUAAGUAAAAUUUUGAUGUUGUUGUUGUUCAGUCACUCAGUCGUGUCCGACUCUUUGCCACCCCAUGCACUGCAGCAUGCCAGGCUUUGCUGUUCUUCACCAUCUCCCCGAGUUUGCUCAAACUCAUGUC
Molecule: long non-coding RNA, 1474 nt
Organism: Bubalus bubalis (water buffalo)
Lineage: Eukaryota; Metazoa; Chordata; Mammalia; Artiodactyla; Bovidae
Exons: 3
Source: RefSeq, a predicted model, not a curated record